GAGUUUGAUCGUGGCUCAGGACGAACGCUGGCGGCGCGCCUAACACAUGCAAGUCGAACGGAGCUGAGAGAAGCUUGCCUUUCUUAGCUUAGUGGCGAACGGGUGAGUAACGCGUGAGUAACCUGCCCUGGAGUGGGGGACAACAGUUGGAAACGACUGCUAAUACCGCAUAAGCCCACGAUCCGGCAUCGGAUUGAGGGAAAAGGAUUUAUUCGCUUCAGGAUGGACUCGCGUCCAAUUAGCUAGUUGGUGAGGUAACGGCCCACCAAGGCGACGAUUGGUAGCCGGACUGAGAGGUUGAACGGCCACAUUGGGACUGAGACACGGCCCAGACUCCUACGGGAGGCAGCAGUGGGGAAUAUUGGGCAAUGGAGGGAACUCUGACCCAGCAACGCCGCGUGGA
Molecule: ribosomal RNA, 403 nt
Filed under: uncultured bacterium
Lineage: Bacteria
Description: bacterial SSU rRNA
Rfam family: Bacterial small subunit ribosomal RNA
Source: RNAcentral